RNAcentral lists this transfer RNA (73 nucleotides) under Loxodonta africana (African savanna elephant). It matches the Rfam family "tRNA". Rfam says of the family: Transfer RNA (tRNA) molecules are approximately 80 nucleotides in length. Their secondary structure includes four short double-helical elements and three loops (D, anti-codon, and T loops). Further hydrogen bonds mediate the characteristic L-shaped molecular structure. tRNAs have two regions of fundamental functional importance: the anti-codon, which is responsible for specific mRNA codon recognition, and the 3' end, to which the tRNAs corresponding amino acid is attached (by aminoacyl-tRNA synthetases). tRNAs cope with the degeneracy of the genetic code in two manners: having more than one tRNA (with a specific anti-codon) for a particular amino acid; and 'wobble' base-pairing, i.e. permitting non-standard base-pairing at the 3rd anti-codon position. Lineage: Eukaryota; Metazoa; Chordata; Mammalia; Proboscidea; Elephantidae. The record is from Rfam by way of RNAcentral.
GUGUGGGUAGCUCAGUCGGUAGAGCAGCAGUCUUUUAAUCUGAGAGUCCAGGGUUCAAGUCCCUCUUCAGGCC